Molecule: ribosomal RNA, 431 nt
Filed under: uncultured bacterium
Lineage: Bacteria
Description: partial 16S ribosomal RNA
Rfam family: Bacterial small subunit ribosomal RNA
Source: RNAcentral
ACGGAAGGCAGCAGUGGGGGAUAUUGCACAAUGGGGGAAACCCUGAUGCAGCGACGCCGCGUGAGUGAUGAAGUAUUUCGGUAUGUAAAGCUCUAUCAGCAGGAAAGAUAAUGACGGUACCUGACUGAGAAGCACCGGCUAAAUACGUGCCAGCAGCCGCGGUAAUACGUAUGGUGCAAGCGUUAUCCGGAUUUACUGGGUGUAAAGGGAGCGCAGACGGCAUGGCAAGCCAGAUGUGAAAUGCGGGGGCUCAACUCCCGAACUGCAUUUGGAACUGUCAAGCUAGAGUAUCGGAGAGGUAAGUGGAAUUCCUAGUGUAGCGGUGAAAUGCGUAGAUAUUAGGAGGAACACCAGUGGCGAAGGCGGCUUACUGGACGAUAACUGACGUUGAGGCUCGAAAGCGUGGGGAGCAAACAGGAUUAGAUACGGUA